CAGCAGCCGCGGUAAUACGGAGGGAGCUAGCGUUGUUCGGAAUUACUGGGCGUAAAGCGCGCGUAGGCGGUUACUCAAGUCAGAGGUGAAAGCCCGGGGCUCAACCCCGGAACUGCCUUUGAAACUAGGUGACUAGAAUCUUGGAGAGGUCAGUGGAAUUCCGAGUGUAGAGGUGAAAUUCGUAGAUAUUCGGAAGAACACCAGUGGCGAAGGUGACUGACUGGACAAGUAUUGACGCUGAGGUGCGAAAGCGUGGGGAGCAAACAGGAUUAGAUACCCGCGUAGUCCCUGUCUCUUAUAC
Molecule: ribosomal RNA, 301 nt
Filed under: uncultured bacterium
Lineage: Bacteria
Description: partial 16S ribosomal RNA
Rfam family: Bacterial small subunit ribosomal RNA
Source: RNAcentral